AGAAUCAACGCUGGCGGCGUGCCUAACACAUGCAAGUCGAACGAGAAAGUGGAGCAAUCCAUGAGUAAAGUGGCGCACGGGUGAGUAACACGUGACUAACCUACCCUCGAGUGGGGAAUAACUUCGGGAAACCGAGGCUAAUACCGCAUAAAACCUAAGGGUCAAAGGAGCAAUCCGUUUGAGGAGGGGGUCGCGGCAGAUUAGUUAGUUGGCGGGGUAAUGGCCCACCAAGACGAUGAUCUGUAUCCGGCCUGAGAGGGCGCACGGACACACUGGAACUGAAACACGGUCCAGACUCCUACGGGAGGCAGCAGUGGGGAAUUUUGCGCAAUGGGGGAAACCCUGACGCAGCAACGCCGCGUGGAGGAUGAAAUCCCUUGGGAUGUAAACUCCUUUCGAUCGGGAAGAUAAUGACGGUACCGGAAGAAGAACGCCCGGCUACUCGCGCCAGCAGCCGC
RNAcentral lists this ribosomal RNA (458 nucleotides) under uncultured bacterium. Its description in RNAcentral is "SSU rRNA". It matches the Rfam family "Bacterial small subunit ribosomal RNA", at positions 26 to 518 of the family's 1533-position model. The record is from RNAcentral.